UCGCCUGUUUAUCAAAAACAUCACCUCUAGCAUUACAAGUAUUAGAGGCACUGCCUGCCCAGUGACUAAAGUUAAACGGCCGCGGUAUCCUGACCGUGCAAAGGUAGCAUAAUCACUUGUUCCUUAAUUAGGGACUAGAAUGAACGGCCAAACGAGGGUCCAACUGUCUCUUAUUUUUAAUCAGUGAAAUUGACCUUCCAGUGAAGAGGCUGGAAUAAAACAAUAAGACGAGAAGACCCUAUGGAGCUUCAAUUUAUUAGUUUAAUAUAUAUAUAUAUACUUCCCCUAAUGGCGCAAUAAAAUAUAAUUGUAAACUAAAAAUUUUGGUUGGGGUGACCUCGGAGAACAAAAAAACCUCCGAAUGAUUCUAACUUAGACAUACCCGUCAAAGUAAACAAAAAUCUUAUUGACCCAAAAUUCAUUUGAUCAACGGACCAAGUUACC
RNAcentral lists this ribosomal RNA (444 nucleotides) under Micromys minutus (European harvest mouse). Its description in RNAcentral is "partial large subunit ribosomal RNA". It matches the Rfam family "Bacterial large subunit ribosomal RNA", at positions 1796 to 2467 of the family's 2925-position model. The record is from RNAcentral. Lineage: Eukaryota; Metazoa; Chordata; Mammalia; Rodentia; Muridae.